This 924-nucleotide small RNA is filed under the name Rattus norvegicus (Norway rat). RNAcentral describes it as "uncharacterized LOC102546480". Lineage: Eukaryota; Metazoa; Chordata; Mammalia; Rodentia; Muridae. The record is from RNAcentral.
CGUUUACCUGUCACAGAGUAGAGAGGGGAUGAGUAAUAAUGGGAGAAAUAUAUGUGUGCGUUCAUGGAGCUUACAACCGUGAACUGGGACAUCAACCACCGGUAGAGAAAAAGCCAGCUCUUCGCUGAGGGAUUCAAGGGAAGGAAAAGGUUCCCACAGAGUUGGCCUUCACCAACAAGAAAGGCUUUCCUUCUCUGGGUGGUGGCCUCUCGCCAUCCAAGAUGGCGACUCACAGUCAAUGUGGAGGGCAGCCAGCCAGGCUCAGCGUUUGCUGAGGCUCCAGUCUUCAUGGAUUCCAUAUCAAACUGAGGUUCCUUCUCUGUGGACGCACAAGGUCUCACCAAAACAGCCAGAACAGGAAGGACUGUGUUCUUUGUCUCCAGCAAGCUAAGGAUUCAGGCAAGGAACCCUACGGAAGAUGCCCUAUAUUGGAAAGUCCCUUAAAACCGAGCAGGAUGGUGGCAGGCUCGCAUUCAGAAGGAAACUUGCCUCUGCUGCUGAAAAUGAAAGCGGGAUUUAUCAGCCACACUCCUUUAAAACAACCACCACCUUAGCGACAUGGGGGCCAGCCGCAUCCAGGAAACGCCGCCCGAAACCAGCAAUUGUGCUUUAAGCUCUCUGCAUUUUCAAACACAUGGAUAGUUGGUGUAAAAAUAUAUUCUUUUCCUGCAGGGACGUGACUGUAAUUAGUGUGUGCCAAAACUCUCUCUCUCUCUCUCUCUCUCUCUCUCUCUCUCUCUCUCUCUCUCUCUCUCUCUCCCUCUCCCUGAGAUUUCAUUGUCUUAUCUCCUUACAGCAUCUUAAUGCGAUUUUAUUUUACUUUGUCAAAGUCCUAUUAGCAUAAAUGUGUUCUCCAUAGCAAACAGUGUUCUUUUUUAUGCAAAACAGGAUUCAGCUGACUCGAAUAAAGCAGCUUGCAGUCUA